AGAGUCGGAAGAUCUGUGAAACCUCCGUAAGCCCCAGUGUGACUCGCACUUUCCUUCAGCGCCAACUCGGAUGAACUGACUCAGCUACUUUUAAUCUCACAGCCGAUUCCUGUCGAGUCUAGCUGAGUUGAUCACUGUAAGAUCAUCUAAAUUUCUCUCUCUAACAUCGCGAAUUUCGAGGUUUAACCUAAUUUUUCAAAAUUCAAUCCGUUUGAGCUAGGGUUUUGAUUGAUAUCUGUUUAAUUGCAGAGAAUGUGAUGCUUUGAAAUUCUAAGAGCAUAAAAUGGUGGAAUUCACUGAUCCUAAGGCUAGUUCUUAGAUCCAUUAGGUGAACAUAGCUUUUGAAGAAGAGAAAUGAUAUUAAUUAUCAAUUUUUUCUUAUUUUAUAUUAAAUUUUGAAUAUUUUUAGAAGCAUACUAUUUCUAUACGAUCAUGAAUUACAUAAAUGAUGAAUCGUUUCAUGGAUAGGUCACUAUAUGUCUUUGCUUAUGAACACUGGUUGGAGAUUAUUUUAUUCAUGCUCAGAGAGGACGCUGUAAGCUUGCUAAUGUGCUUAAACUGUCACAACCUCUGGGGUUUGUCUCUAAUCUGAUAUACUUGCUUCUUAUGGAACUUUAAAAGUAUUUUGGUUGGAUUAUAAUUUGAUGAGGAAGCCAAUAAGGUGAACUGAUCAACCAUUAUAUAAUUUGAUUUGAUUAUCUUAAGGUACCUUUUUUGGUGACAUUGUAAAUUUUCUGGUUGAAAUAGCCUAAAUAAUGCCCUGCUAUAUUACCUGACAAUAUUUGAGAGCAGCAGCAAUUAUCAAAUUAUCUUAUUGUCUUUCAUUAAUUACUUAUCCACUACCACUGACAACCUUUUAAUGUUUGCCAAAUUGUGACAUUUUUACAUGAUCAUUCCAAAUUAUGAUUGGUAAAGAAGCAAAUGAAGGAUGCUAAUGAUUAAUGACAAUUUAUUGGUGCUUAUUGUACUAAUCUUGGAUUAAAUUUCUCAUCCAAAAAGGUAUGCUCACCAUCUAUGAAAAUUCAGUUUCAAAAGGUUUGCACGUUAUGGUAGUUAUAGAUGAAUGUCUAUGCCAGAGCCAGAAUUUUUUAGUAGCUUUUAUCCUGUAAUUAAUCAGUUUUAUUUUGUUUCUACUGAUUUUAAUUUGCAUAUAUAAUUAUCUUAAUUUCAUUGUUAAGCAGAUUUUAUUCUCGCUUUUCUGUCUGUCAUGUUGUCCUGCAUGGUUCUUUGACACUUUCAAGUAGGUUCACCUAUCCUAUCAUCUUAGCGUACUUUUUUUUUACAAUAGUCAAGGCCAUUAGAAGGGACCAGUUUAAUUACACUAUCUGAUUGUCUAUGGAACUUGAUAUAGGAAGUUGUGAUGGCAUUUGCAACAUUAUUUAUUUUUUGCCCAUAAUACUUAGUUUAAAACAUUAUUUAUUUAGUGUUCCUUUCAAUUUUUUCUCAGAUGGAAGAAGUUUGUGUCAAUAGUGAGCCAGUAUUUGAUGAAGGCAAUGACUAUGAGUUUGAGGAAGACUGCAGUGCAGUAGAACAUGACAAUGAAACUAGUGAAAGAUAUUUAAAGAAAGAACCCCUCCCACCUACUGUGGGUUUGGAGUUUGAUUCUUUUGAUGAAGUUUAUGAUUUUUAUAAUGUAUAUGCUAAGGAACAAGGAUUUGGCAUUAGAGUGAGCAAUUCAUGGUUUAGAUCGAAGAGAAAGGAACGGUAUAGAGCAAAACUUAGCUGCAGUAGUGCAGGUUUUAAGAAAAAGAGUGAAGCAAAUAAUCCACGACCAGAAACAAGAACUGGUUGUCCUGCAAUGAUAGUCAUUAGGCUUGUGGACUCAAAAAGGUGGAGAAUAGUUGAAGUUGAGCUUGAACACAACCAUCCUGUGAACCCCCAAAUUAAACGGUUUUAUAAGUCGCAUAAAAAAAUGAUUAUUGCAGCUCAGAAAGCUCAACAACCCCCAGAGCCUGUCACAGAAGUACACACCAUCAAAUUGUAUCGAACAGCUCUCAUGGAUGCUGGGAGUAAUGGAUACUCAAAUUUUGAUAAAAGAGAGGGUGCUAAUCUUGUUGAUCACUCUAAACAUUUGGAACUUAAAGAAGGAGAUGCACAUGCAGUGUAUAACUACUUUUGUCGCAUGAAGUUGACAAGUCCAAACUUCUUUUACUUGAUGGAUCUUGAUGAUGAUGGGCGCUUGAGGAAUGUGUUUUGGACUGAUGCUAGAUCCAGGGCUGCAUAUGGAUAUUUUCAUGAUACAGUUGCAAUUGACACAACAUGCUUGACAAACAAAUAUGAGAUCCCUCUGAUUUCAUUUGUUGGUGUUAACCACCAUGGACAAUCAAUAUUAUUGGGCUGCGGCUUUCUUGGACAUGAUUCAGUAGAAUAUUUCGUUUGGAUUUUCAGGGCAUGGCUUAAAUGCAUGCAAGGGCGUCCUCCACAGGUUAUCAUUACUGACCAGUGUAAACCCUUGCAAAGUGCAGUGUCUGAGGUCUUCCCUGAAGCCCAUCAUUGUUAUUGCCUGUCAUAUAUUAUGCAAAGAGUUCCAGAGAGGUUGGGAGGGUUGAAGGGAUUUGAAGCCAUCAAAAGACAAUUGAACAAGUCAGUGUAUAAUUCUUUGAAGAUAGCUGAGUUUGAGACUUCUUGGGUUGAAAUGAUCAGGCAGCAUGGACUGGGUGAUAAUAAAUGGCUACAAACAUUAUAUGAAGAGAGGCAACGGUGGGUUCCAGUUUAUUUGAAGGACAUAUUUUUUGCGGGAAUGAUUCGCAUACAAGAAAAUGAAGGUUCAAAUGCUUUUUUUGAUGGUUAUGUACAUAAACAUACAUCUUUUAAGGAAUUUGUUGAUAAGUAUGAUCUAGCACUACACAGGAGACUCCUUAGAGAAGCCAUGGCAGAUCUAGAGUCGAGAAACUCGAGCUUUGAGUUGAGAACAAAAUGCAAUUUUGAAGUGCAGCUCUCUAAAGUGUAUACAAAAGAAAUUUUUAAGAAGUUUCAGUCUGAGGUUGAGGGGGUGUACUUGUGCUUCAACACAAGACAGGUUAGUGUUAACGGGCCAAUAGUUACAUACAUAGUUAAAGAACGGGUAGAAGUGGAAGGAGGUGAGAAGGAGGUUAAACAUUUUGAGGUUUUAUAUGAGACAAGCCAAGUGGAUAUUCGAUGCAUAUGCAGCUUGUUCAAUUACAAAGGUUAUCUAUGCAGGCAUGCAUUAAAUGUUCUUAAUUAUAAUGGGGUGGAAGAAAUCCCUGCCCGCUACAUUCUGCCGCGUUGGAGUAAAGAUUUCAAGUUCAAGUGUUUUCCAGAUCAUGUUUCCAGUAAUAUUGAUGUGUAUAACCCAAUUUACCGGCAGAUUCAUCCUUAUAAGGUGGCCAUUCCAAUUGUGGAAGGAGGAGCACAAUCACCAGAUCAUUAUAAGAUUGCUUUGCAAGAAUUGGAGGACUUGUUGAAUAAAUUAAGUCUUGUAGACAACUAGUGUAAAUUAGAUGCAUAGUUGUGUGUAGAAACUAGCAAGAAAUUCAAAAUGCCUUUUCACAUUAAUGGAUUCCCUUUUUUUCUUUUCUUUUUCCCCCUUCCUUGUUAUCUAAGGAUAGCACAACUACCCUCUUUCUCUUCUCAGUCUCAAGAGUGUAAAAUAGUUGGAAAAUGUUAACUGGAGUCUCAUUGUCUGACCUAUUGAGCCCUUGUUAGUUGUCAUCACUUGGCUUGUUCAUGGUUCAUGG
Molecule: unclassified non-coding RNA, 3698 nt
Filed under: Hevea brasiliensis (rubber tree)
Lineage: Eukaryota; Viridiplantae; Streptophyta; Magnoliopsida; Malpighiales; Euphorbiaceae
Source: RNAcentral